Long non-coding RNA from Pseudoliparis swirei, 888 nucleotides. RefSeq lists it as uncharacterized. NCBI's taxonomy places the organism in Eukaryota, Metazoa, Chordata, Actinopteri, Perciformes, Liparidae. The transcript is spliced from 4 exons. The record is from RefSeq and is a predicted model, not a curated record.
UGUGGUCCCGAUGCCGUUGUAUAAUGUUUCGAUUGUAAUAGUGGCGUGUUCCGCAUUGGAGGGGCGCUACAGUCUAUGGUCGUUAGCCCCGGUGCUACUGUAUAAUAGUCUAGUGGUCUUGUUCGUGAGGGUACCGCACGGCCUGGGAUGUGUGUGUGUGCCCGCUAGCUACCGUACAGAUAGUCCCAUGGACUACAAGGAGACACGUGGUCACUAUACUGUUGUAUAAUAUUUCGAUUGUAAUUCAUCUUUAUAUAAAUAUAUAUAUUCAAUCACUCUUUUAGUAUAAAACAUACACUGACGCUGUGUUUUUAUUAAUUAGCAGAUCAUGGAUAAUAUAAAUAUUGGUAACACCGAAAAUAUGCCUCCAUCAGCUGCUGUAUGUUCCGGUAGUGAGUAUUAAAUAAUUAUAGUAAUGAUGAUAUGGGCUAAUAGUGUUUUUGUCACGGACUAUAUGUAUGAUUUAUCGUGUUUGUAGACAGGCUGAAACGUAGGCGUCCUCCUCCAGGCGUAAAGACAUGCGCACCAACGCCGUUUGACUCCGCCCCACCGGUCAAUGACGCUGCAUCAGAACUAGAUGCGGCCAUAGCUGUUAUUACCGGGGAUGUCACUUUCAAGACACCUAUGAGAUCUGCCUGUGUUAAACUAUUGACACAUCCUGUUGUAUACAGUCAGGACAUCGGUGCACAGCUAUCAGAGGCUGUAAAGAUCCCUUUGAGACAUGUGGGUGGUAAAAUAUUGACACAUCCUGUAGCAUACCGUCAGGACAUUGGUGCACAGCUAUCAGAUAUGUGUUUUCUCAGAGGAUUUUCAGUGCAGACCAGUCCUAGCAUCAGCCAUCCCCUCAUCAGAUGAUGAACCCCUGAGCUGUGCUCAGUUGUAUACACC